This is a long non-coding RNA of Solea senegalensis (Senegalese sole), 160 nucleotides long. RefSeq lists it as uncharacterized. The transcript has 3 exons. NCBI's taxonomy places the organism in Eukaryota, Metazoa, Chordata, Actinopteri, Pleuronectiformes, Soleidae. The record is from RefSeq and is a predicted model, not a curated record.
GUGAGAUGUUUAGGUGUUUACAGGUGAGAUGUUUACAGGUGAGAUGUUAGGCGUUUACAGGUGAGAUGUUAAGGUGUUUACAGGUGAGAUGUUAGGUGUUUACAGGUGAGAUGUUAGGUGUUUACAGGUGAGGUGUUUACAGGUGAGAUGUUUACAGGUG